RNAcentral lists this unclassified non-coding RNA (225 nucleotides) under plant metagenome. RNAcentral's name for it is "partial contains small subunit ribosomal RNA, internal transcribed spacer 1, and 5.8S ribosomal RNA". The record is from RNAcentral.
UCUCCGUUGGUGAACCAGCGGAGGGAUCAUUACAGGACUCGCAAGACUCCUACAACCCUGUGAACUUAACUAUAAGCACGUUGCUUCGGCGGGUGUCUCGGAGGUGGUUGUCCCCCCCCGAGACGCGAAACCCGCCGGCAGCCUACUAUACUCUGUCUCUGUGCGUUGGCAUCUCGAGUACAAUCAAACAAGUUAAAACUUUCAACAACGGAUCUCUUGGUUCUG